GUAACGGGCUGUCCCCCUUACACUAUCCACCCACCUACUCGUCUUCUAAAACUUUUUCUCAACUAAGAUAGGUAGCGAGUACCAUUUUGGUUUAAUUAUUUUUAAAACAAUAAAAUAAUUCUAAUUAAUGAUUACACAAUUUGCUAUUAGUCAUAAAUGCAGAAGACCAAUUGAACAUAAAAGGCCAAAAGUUUACGCUUAU
Molecule: unclassified non-coding RNA, 202 nt
Filed under: Hevea brasiliensis (rubber tree)
Lineage: Eukaryota; Viridiplantae; Streptophyta; Magnoliopsida; Malpighiales; Euphorbiaceae
Source: RNAcentral